GGUAGUCCACGCCUAAACGAUGUCGACUUGGAGGUUGUGCCCUUGAGGCGUGGCUUCCGGAGCUAACGCGUUAAGUCGACCGCCUGGGGAGUACGGCCGCAAGGUUAAAACUCAAAUGAAUUGACGGGGGCCCGCACAAGCGGUGGAGCAUGUGGUUUAAUUCGAUGCAACGCGAAGAACCUUACCUACUCUUGACAUCCAGAGAACUUAGCAGAGAUGCUUUGGUGCCUUCGGGAACUCUGAGACAGGUGCUGCAUGGCUGUCGUCAGCUCGUGUUGUGAAAUGUUGGGUUAAGUCCCGCAACGAGCGCAACCCUUAUCCUUUGUUGCCAGCGGUUAGGCCGGGAACUCAAAGGAGACUGCCAGUGAUAAACUGGAGGAAGGUGGGGAUGACGUCAAGUCAUCAUGGCCCUUACGAGUAGGGCUACACACGUGCUACAAUGGCGCAUACAAAGAGAAGCGACCUCGCGAGAGCAAGCGGACCUCAUAAAGUGCGUCGUAGUCCGGAUUGGAGUCUGCAACUCGACUCCAUGAAGUCGGAAUCGCUAGUAAUCGUAGAUCAGAAUGCUACGGUGAAUACGUUCCCGGGCCUUGUACACACCGCCCGUCACACCAUGGGAGUGGGUUGCAAAAGAAGUAGGUAGCUUAACCUUCGGGAGGGCGCUUACCACUUUGUGAUUCAUGACUGGGGUGAAGUCGUAACAAGGUAACCGUAGGGGAACCUGC
Molecule: ribosomal RNA, 725 nt
Filed under: uncultured bacterium
Lineage: Bacteria
Description: bacterial SSU rRNA
Rfam family: Bacterial small subunit ribosomal RNA
Source: RNAcentral